This 254-nucleotide ribosomal RNA is filed under the name uncultured bacterium. RNAcentral describes it as "partial 16S ribosomal RNA". It matches the Rfam family "Bacterial small subunit ribosomal RNA", at positions 524 to 776 of the family's 1533-position model. The record is from RNAcentral.
UACGUAGGGUACGAGCGUUAAUCGGAAUUACUGGGCGUAAAGCGUGCGCAGGCGGUUAUUUAAGUCCGGUGUGAAAGCCCUGGGCUUAACCUAGGAAUUGCGCUUGAGACUGGAUAGCUUGGAGUGCGGCAGAGGGAGGUGGAAUUCCACGUGUAGCAGUGAAAUGCGUAGAGAUGUGGAGGAACACCGAUGGCGAAGGCAGCCUCCUGGGCCAGCACUGACGCUCAUGCACGAAAGCGUGGGGAGCAAACAGG